This 1542-nucleotide long non-coding RNA is filed under the name Olea europaea subsp. europaea. Lineage: Eukaryota; Viridiplantae; Streptophyta; Magnoliopsida; Lamiales; Oleaceae. The record is from RNAcentral.
GAAAAUUUAUUUCCCUUCAUUUCUCUUUCACCACUUCCUUAACUAAAAAAUCUCAAAACUUUUAAAUGGCUACCUCCGAAGUCCGUGCAAUUCAACCCAAUCAAGCUGUAAGUGAUUUUCAUCUUAAGUUUUAACAUUUUUCUUUCAAAUUCUUCUUUUAUUUAGGUGGAGCUUAAUUUACGGUACACUUUAUCCUUGUACUUUGAAAUUUUGCAUCUGUAUUAGGUUGUCCUAUUAUUUUCCUUCACAUCAUAUGAUUUCAUUGAAUAGAAUUUUGCAUUCUACUAUUUUUUUUUUCAAAUAUCAUGUCAUCAAUGGCAUCCUUCCUGGUUCGAAACUCCUAUAAUAUUUGCAGUUAACUGAAGUUUGAGCCAAAACCUUUACCCCAAUGUAGUAUAAUCAUGAUUAAGAUACAAUUAUGUGAAGCAAUAAUGCUGUAGAAUUUAAAUAGCUUGUGGACGCUGCCAAAACCUUAAUUUUUUCCUUAAUCUUUCCCUUUGGAAAUUUGUUGGAAUUCGAAAACUAAAAUGUGAUGAACUGAAAGUAUGCGAUUAUGGCAUCAUUGAUAUAGCGCUUAACUGAACAGAUUCAUAAGAAUCUAGAAUCACAAGUUGGCGACAUGUUUGGGUAAAGGAAUAAGAAUACUGUUAGAAACAAAAACUAUGUAAACAAAAAAAGAGAGAGCUAUUAAUACACAUGCAAUCUUGGAACCAUCUUCAGUUAAGUAACAUCUUUUUUCUAAAUUACAAUAUGUACGUUUUUGUUGAUGGAUGGGAUUAGUAACAUGAAUCUUGCGAAGAUAAUUAUAUAUAUUUUUUCAAAAGGAUAACACGAAUCUUGGAUUUUAAUGUUGAAUAUUGUUUACUAUCUUUUAGAGUUUUUUUUUUUUUUAUCAUACUUUACUACCUUUUCCUAUUUUCCUUGUAUUUUGAUAAAUGAAUUUUCUCUUAUUUUUCUAGUCGCAGUAUUUUUCUCUGCAUAUAGCUACAGAAAAAAAAUAAAAAUGAAAGCCAAUAGAAAAAAACUUGCAUUAGUAGUGUACAUUAAGCCACAUACGUGAGUCCAAUUCACAUUAAUUACAUGAUUGACAAUCAUAAUUUGCUUAUUCAACUACUUCUCUUUGUCCUAUUACAGUUCCAGCAUUUUACGAGUUUAAUUAUAGUCAUGCUUUGUAUUCCCUUCCAAAGCCAUGCCUUUAAAAAUAUCUUUCUACUAGCCGGGCAAAGCAAUAUGUCUGGCCGAGGUGGUGUUAUUAAUGGUCGUUGGACAGGAUAUAUCCCACCGGAAUGCCGUUCUCAACCAUCGAUCCUACGACUUAGUGCUGGACUUACAUGGGAAGUGGCAUGUGAGCCUUUACAUCGAGAUAUGGACAAUAAAACUUGUGGGGUGGGACCUGGUAUGUCAUUUGCCAAUUAUGUAUUGGAAAAAGAUUCCAAUAUUGGGGUGAUUGGUUUGGUUCCUUGCGCUAAUGGCGGAACCUCUAUAUCCGAUUGGAGACAAGGCUCACCUCUCUAUGAUGGAAUCACGAUUAGGUCUAAAGCA